GACGAACGCUGGCGGCGUGCUUAACACAUGCAAGUCGAACGGUGAAGGGGCCUGCUUUUGUGGGUCCUGGAUGAGUGGCGAACGGGUGAGUAACACGUGAGUAACCUGCCCCCUUCUUCUGGAUAACCGCAUGAAAGUGUGGCUAAUACGGGAUAUUCUGGGUCUGUCGCAUGGUGGGCCUGGGAAAGGUUUUUUUCCGGUGGGGGAUGGGCUCGCGGCCUAUCAGCUUGUUGGUGGGGUGAUGGCCUACCAAGGCGGUGACGGGUAGCCGGCCUGAGAGGGUGGACGGUCACACUGGGACUGAGACACGGCCCAGACUCCUACGGGAGGCAGCAGUGGGGAAUAUUGCACAAUGGGCGCAAGCCUGAUGCAGCGACGCCGCGUGAGGGAUGGAGGCCUUCGGGUUGUGAACCUCUUUCGCCAGUGAAGCAGGCCUGCUCCUUUUUUGUGGGUGGGUUAGAACGGAGCUGGAUAAGAAGCGCCG
Molecule: ribosomal RNA, 484 nt
Filed under: Actinomyces naeslundii
Lineage: Bacteria; Bacillati; Actinomycetota; Actinomycetes; Actinomycetales; Actinomycetaceae
Description: bacterial SSU rRNA
Rfam family: Bacterial small subunit ribosomal RNA
Source: RNAcentral